GAUGAACGCUGGCGGCGUGCCUAACACAUGCAAGUCGAGCGAUUCUCUUCGGAGAAGAGCGGCGGACGGGUGAGUAACGCGUGGGUAACCUGCCCUGUACACACGGAUAACAUACCGAAAGGUAUGCUAAUACGAGAUAAUAUGCUUUUGUCGCAUGGUAGAAGGAUCAAAGCACCGGCGGUACAGGAUGGGCCCGCGUCGGAUUAGCUAGUUGGUGAGGUAAUGGCUCACCAAGGCGACGAUCCGUAGCUGGUUUGAGAGAACGACCAGCCACACUGGGACUGAGACACGGCCCAGACUCCUACGGGAGGCAGCAGUGGGGAAUAUUGGACAAUGGGCGCAAGCCUGAUCCAGCCAUGCCGCGUGAGUGAUGAAGGCCUUAGGGUUGUAAAGCUCUUUUAGCAGGGAAGAUAAUGACUGUACCUGCAGAAUAAGCUCCGGCUAACUUCGUGCCAGCCGCCGCAGUAA
This 468-nucleotide ribosomal RNA is filed under the name uncultured bacterium. Its description in RNAcentral is "partial 16S ribosomal RNA". It matches the Rfam family "Bacterial small subunit ribosomal RNA", at positions 28 to 523 of the family's 1533-position model. The record is from RNAcentral.